Long non-coding RNA from Raphanus sativus (radish), 459 nucleotides. RefSeq lists it as uncharacterized. NCBI's taxonomy places the organism in Eukaryota, Viridiplantae, Streptophyta, Magnoliopsida, Brassicales, Brassicaceae. The record is from RefSeq and is a predicted model, not a curated record. The transcript has 4 exons.
CAAGUUUCCUGUACCUCUCUCUCUUUCUCUCUUUCUUAACUCUUCUCGAUGUUCUUGUCGAUGUUCUUCUACUUUCUAAUCCAAAAAACGUGAAUCAAGAACCAAACAUAACUCUUCUUUUUCUUAACUUAUAAUCAAGUGUAUGAACCGACAGAAUCAAAGAUCCGUCGUCUCCAUGAGUAGAUCGGGCAGAUAUAACCAAGUCUUUAAGCGUUAGAGAAGUCAAAUCGGUGUAUUUCCAAAGACUGGUUCAACCUCGAGAAACACAUCUAUAAACAAUGGUCGUACGUAAUUGAUGAAUGCUAGUAGAGGAGGAGGAGCUUCAGUUAAGAAGCAAUCUGCUGGUGAACUUCGUCUUCACAAAGAUAAAUCAGGCAUGAAUCUUCGAAGCUCUUGGACGAUAUCAUUUGCCAAUGGCAAAGAUGAUUUGAUGAAGCGCCCAUCUACAUUAACCCCGAU